ACACCUUUUUCACUGGUCCUAAUGCGUUUCUUUCAGCACAGAAGAGGAUGCAAUCGGACCUCGUUAAGUGCGGAAAGGCAUAUUCACUUUUCCUGGCUUCAGCUUUUCCGGAGAUGCUAAACGUUUCCGUAGAAGAUGUGGACAGAAUGCUUAAGCAGGUUCAGCGUUGUAUCGCAGCGGACAUUCCACUGGACAAGCACAUCAUGUUGGGCAUGAUCCGUUAC
This is a non-coding RNA of Dermacentor albipictus, 224 nucleotides long. NCBI's taxonomy places the organism in Eukaryota, Metazoa, Arthropoda, Arachnida, Ixodida, Ixodidae. The record is from RefSeq and is a predicted model, not a curated record.